CUCUCUAAAAAUAAAUAAAUUAAUUUUUUAAAAAAAGAAAUUCUAAAAGAAGACAAAGGUAUACUCCUUACCAUCAGAUCUUUAAUUACUCAAGUCCAUUGAAUCACCUUAAUAUUAGAAACACUAAAAUUUCAUCUUAACAACUCUUUGACUUUUCUGCAUUUGCUGGCAAAAAUCUUUGAUUGUCACUUUGACUAAAUGAGUAACUUUAAAGUAUUGUUAUCUAUGAUUUUACCUGAAACAUGUUUUAAAACUUUUGCUACAUUUCACAAACUCCCCAAGAUUCAAACUUUAAAGAGCGUCACUUUCUUGACCUGGGACAUUUUUAAGAACUUCGGAGUUUUUCCAGAAGGACCCCUGACAUACCUCCACGACUCAUUUUCCUCUUGAUAAAGGGAAACAUUAAACUUACUGGAUACAUCACUCCUGAGUCAAGCCUGCUUUCCUACCCAGUGAGAAUAAAGAACCAGAUCCACAGUACUCCUGUGGGUCCCUGUCCCAUCUCAAGCCACUACAAGGAACCCCAGAAGCUAUGGGACCCCAAGACUCAUUACUCAAGCAGCCAGAGAAUUUCAUUCCUCUAACUCAAAGACUUCAUCCAUCCAUCUUCAGCAGGAAGCAAUUACAGAAAUAUGACCCUCAAGCCCAUUCCCUCAAGAAUGAGAAAUAAAAAAAUCUCAGAGGGGAAUUCUUAUAUACAACAAGGGUCUCAAGGUCUGAGCAGUUCUUACUAAAUGCUAUUCUUGCUAGAUGUUAAAAUACAGCAUCAUAUUUUAUAGAUGCAGCAAUAAUAGAAGAGCUAGAUAGG
Molecule: long non-coding RNA, 808 nt
Organism: Artibeus jamaicensis (Jamaican fruit-eating bat)
Lineage: Eukaryota; Metazoa; Chordata; Mammalia; Chiroptera; Phyllostomidae
Exons: 3
Source: RefSeq, a predicted model, not a curated record